Molecule: unclassified non-coding RNA, 335 nt
Rfam family: Eukaryotic small subunit ribosomal RNA (bases 1-46)
AAGUCGUAACAAGGUUUCCGUAGGUGAACCUGCGGAAGGAUCAUUACCGAGUGGCUUGGCGUCCUGCGAAAGCGGGGUAGCGCCGGUUACCCGACCUUCAUGUCAUCAGCACCGGACUUGUCGAGUUUGGACUUUGUUUCUUUUGGAAGCGAAGGCGAGGACGACGAGGAUGGAAUAUAUAUUUCGGCGGAGGUGGUAGGCGUCUCCUUCUUCGGGAGGAGGAUGACCUGCCCGCCGCCGGUGGGAUUUCCAACUCUUUGUGAGCAAGUAUGAAGUCUGAUUGAAACAAGAAUCAAAACAAAGCAAAACUUUCAACAACGGAUCUCUUGGCUCUG